Molecule: ribosomal RNA, 468 nt
Filed under: uncultured bacterium
Lineage: Bacteria
Description: partial 16S ribosomal RNA
Rfam family: Bacterial small subunit ribosomal RNA
Source: RNAcentral
GACGAACGCUGGCGGCGUGCUUAACACAUGCAAGUCGAACGGAAAGGUUAUACUUUAGUUUGCUGCUCCAGUGGCGAUCGGUUGCGUAACACGUGAUUACCCUGCCCUUGCCUUUCGGAUAACUUCAGGAAACUGGGGCUAACACUGGCUAGUAGCUCCUACUGCUUGUUGUGGGUUGGUAAGUUUCGGCGGGUGGGGAUGGACUCGCGGCUUAUCAGCCUGUUGGUGGGGUAGUGGCUUACCAAGGCUUUGACGGGUAGCCGGCCUGAGAGGGUGACCGGCCACAUUGGGACUGAGAUGCGGGCCAGACUGCUACGGGAGGCAGCAGUGGGGAAUAUUGCACGAUGGGCGGAAGCCGGAUGCAGCAACGCCGCGUGCGGGAUGACGGCCGUCGGGGUGUAAACCGCUUGCGCCUGUGACGAAGCGUGAGUGACGGUAAUGUGUAAAGAAGCAACGGCUAACUACGUG